CUGAAAUAUCUAGUCAACUUUAGAGGCAUGCACUCUAUUGAUAAAGACAAUCUAAAAUCAACUGUUUUGUCUCUGUAAAGCUAUUCAUGCUAUGCGUUUUGCUGGUUUUUAUAUGCUUUUUGUUGCAAACAAUUUCCAAAACAUAUUUACGUAUCAAUUAUAAUGUUUCUAGAAUUUUUUCUUUUCUAAUUUUUUUCUCAUUUGCUAGAACUAAAUCUACUUUUCUAAAUUACCUAAAGUUAUUUUCAUAGGCUCUAAAUAUUUUGUUGGAUUUGUUAUUCCAAUCUAUCUCGAGAAUUUCUUAUGAAAAUUUUCAAAUCUUACAGAUAUUUUUUUGUUAUAACUAUAAAAAAAGAUAAAAUUGACUUCAAAACCUUGAACAGUUUUAAAAUAUUAGGAUAUAUUAGCAAAUAUGUCCGUGCGUUGCAACGGGAGAAAAACAUCAAAUGGAUGUUACAUAUCUAUUUAUAUUUAUUUUUUAAAAAAUUUGAAGUCUAUAAUUUAUUUUAUUGAUAACCAUGACAUCUAUGGUAUUAGAUAGUUAAUAUUUACAAUAAAAUGUAGCUCGGAGAUA
This 574-nucleotide long non-coding RNA is filed under the name Sorghum bicolor (sorghum). RNAcentral's name for it is "long non-coding RNA (SBIC_LNC006100)". The record is from RNAcentral. Lineage: Eukaryota; Viridiplantae; Streptophyta; Magnoliopsida; Poales; Poaceae.